CUCAUCAGUGCUUACCCUUGCAGUGUGUUCUGACGAACUGCUGGCUAAGAAACAAAUAUGCUCCAGUUCAGAUUUUCUCAACAUCAGAUGCUAUUACUAGCGCCACCUAACCUAUAGUUCCAGUGGGUCAGUUACAACUUAAAUCUUCGUUGCAUCACUCAUGGCUAUAGUUUUUCACUGGUACAAUAUUUGGCAUGACAGCAGGUUAUUCAUAGCACAUGCUGAUUUCUGUAGUGAGAAUGUAAAUACGAAUGGCCCUUUUUUAUUUCUUGAAAUUUGAGUAGUCUUUUUCCCUAAGAUUGCAGUCUGUUUUUUCCAUAGUCCUUAUGGUUGUAUUGUAUCUUCUCAUUCCAAUAAGAACUUAUAUCAACACGAACUAAACACAUUAAUGUUGAUUCUUGCAGCAGGUACUAUUAUAAUAUUAAUGUUAUUGUAUCAGAUCUACAUCUACUUAUGCUGGAUAAACAGAUGAUGGCAAUGGUCCUUCUAUAGCAACAAAGCGUUCAUGUGUGCCAGUUCGAUUUUGUUAUGUGACCAUGGGUAAACCAUAUGCUCUGGGAAUUGUUUUUAAUUAUUAUCAAGUAACAUUCAUCCCUUAAUGUAUUUAUGAAAUCAUAGGAGAAUUAUUUUGCCCUGCAGAUUUGUUUCAUAAGACAAAGUUUUUUUUAAGUAUUUGGAUCACAACUCAAAGAUAGUAGAGAUCUAAUAACAUACUUAUUUCAUUUACAACUGAAAGACAUUGAAUACCAUUAGCUGGCUUGCUUUGCCUUCAUAAGUACAUUUCAGUUUCAUAUUUUACUUUUAUUUGUACUAUGUAAUCAUUUUCUACAGAUCCUGCACUUGCACUAAUUCAGAUCUUUAUAUUGGUUUUCGUGUUGUGUUUUAUUCCAUACAAAAAAUCACUUCUAAUUUAGGUGGGUGCACAAAAUUAUUCCCUAUGAGGGCAUUGAUAUUUCUUAUUUGCAUAUGUUGGAUGUGCAUAUCCGAGGCACCAAUAAUAUCAUCCUCAAAGUGUAAUGGGUUGAAUAGAGCAAAGCAAACCAACCGAUGUAUGUACUUAGUGCCAUGAUGGAUAUGGAGUAGUGGAAGAAUCACUUUGGAGAGGGAUUAAGUCGAUAAGUUGUUGGUUUCAUACCCGGUUAUUUAAAAAGUGAGCUAAUGUGUUUGCAUUGUCUUGGUUAUCUAACGUGACAGCUUCUCUCUAUUAAUUCUGCGAGAUGUUAGUUUAUAAUUUAAUUGAGAUUCUGUAAAACACUUUAAUAUUAACGUGGA
Molecule: long non-coding RNA, 1272 nt
Organism: Lolium rigidum
Lineage: Eukaryota; Viridiplantae; Streptophyta; Magnoliopsida; Poales; Poaceae
Exons: 3
Source: RefSeq, a predicted model, not a curated record